Molecule: long non-coding RNA, 843 nt
Organism: Balaenoptera musculus (blue whale)
Lineage: Eukaryota; Metazoa; Chordata; Mammalia; Artiodactyla; Balaenopteridae
Exons: 3
Source: RefSeq, a predicted model, not a curated record
CCUGUGAAGACACUCUGAUUGCGCUCCGGGAGAGAGAGAAGCAAAUUAGCCAAUCACAGCAGCUCUGCUAACGACUUCACAUUCACGCAAUUCGCUGUCUGCUUCCCACGUGGACAAAGAAACUGAGAAAGGGACCAAAUCAACAUCUCAGAAGAAAAAAUAUCUUUGAUGAGCGAAUUAAAACGAAAGAUCUCUUGAUUAUUGAAAGCAUAUGAGGUGAUUCUCACUCCAAGGUCAAAAUCCAACGGCACCUUCGCAAACCAAAGUUUCUAUCAUUCCGUCAGGAAAACAUUCAGGGCAUAUGACAUGUCAGGUGUGACAUGAAAAAAUCUGUGGAAAGUAGAACAAGGAGGAUCUUAAUCAAAUAGUCAGAUGCGGCAGAUCUGACCCCUCUGUCCACACCUCCUGGCGUCUGGCGUCUCUUGAGAUCCAGGUGACAACCGUCCGGGGAGGAGAUGGACGCCGUGUGUGAAAGCAGACUGAGCAGGCAGAGCCGGUUUGCAGGCUGUUGAAGCAUCACAAGGUGGGAAGGAAACGCACCGUGGUGUCAUGAGAGGAGCUUCGGGGGAACUGACCUGGUCCCUGGACCAGGAUGUGGGGAUGAUGAGAGUCACAGAAGAAUCCCUCAAGGAGGUGACACUUCAUCUGAGACAUGACAGUUGCUCCAAUUUUUGUCUCUCGACAAUACUGCCACCAUGCGUGUCAUCUGAACCUGUGUGUGGAGUAGGCAGGUCUCGAGUUCAAGAUCCCUGGCGGGUAAACAACAAUUGAAACAAUUUCAAGUUCAUGGACAUCCCCUGCAAUCAACAUCAACUACUCCAUCAAGAAAACAAGACCUUGGUA